Molecule: small nucleolar RNA, 138 nt
Filed under: Ornithorhynchus anatinus (platypus)
Lineage: Eukaryota; Metazoa; Chordata; Mammalia; Monotremata; Ornithorhynchidae
Source: RNAcentral
UGCCUCUCAGGGUUGCACCUGGAGAGUUUCCAGUACUCUACCAGUCUCGACUACAGGAGGGAGAGUCAAGCAGAGGCAUAGCCAUUCCAUUCUUAGCAUGGGUAGUGGCUAGUGAGUGGAAAGCAAUCUGCUACAAGU